Molecule: long non-coding RNA, 1004 nt
Filed under: Homo sapiens (human)
Lineage: Eukaryota; Metazoa; Chordata; Mammalia; Primates; Hominidae
Description: non-protein coding lnc-ZNF680-20:1
Source: RNAcentral
AUUAACCCAUUAGCUCAACUUAUUAUUUACCUUACUGUUUUUACAGGUACUUAUCACAACGCUAGGCUCACACUGAUUUUUCAUCUGAACAGGCCUAGAAAUAAAUAUACUAGCCCUCAUCCCAAUCUCAAUUUAAAAAAAAAACCCGCUCUACAGAAGCAGUCACUAAAUAUUUCCUUAUACGGGCAACCGCAUCUAUAUUCCUCAUAAUAAGUAUUCUCUUCAAUAACCUGUUCUCCAGUGAACAAUAAAUACUAUUAAUCAACUUUCAUCCUUAAAAAUAAUAACAGCUUAGUAAUAAAACUAGGGAUAGCCCCUUUUCACUUCUGAGUUCCAGAAGUAACCCAAGGAACUUCCCUAACAUUCGGUAUACCACUCCUCACAUGACAAAAACUGGCCCUAUUUCAAUUAUAUAUCAAAUUUUUCCAUCAGUAAACACGAACAUCCUCCUAUCUCUCUUGAUCUUAUCUAUUAUAGUGGGCAGUUGAGGAGGACUUAACCAAACACAACUAUGUAAAAUUCUAGCCUACUCCUCAAUUAUUCAUAUAGGUUGAAUAACAGCAGUACUAAUAUAUAACCCAAACAUUACCAUUUUUAACCUAACAACCACUGCAUUCCUAGCACUCAGCCUGAAUUCAAGCACUACAACCCUAUCACUAUCCCAUGCCUGAAACAAAUUAACAUGGUCAGUAUCUAUAAUUCUAUCAAUUUUAUUAUCCCUAGGAGGUUUACCUCCAUGAACAGGAUUCCUGCCUAAAUGAAUCACCAUUCAAGAGUUUACAAAAAAUAAGUCUUAUUAUCCCAACCAUUAUAGCUAUCAUAACUCUACUCAAUCUGUAUAUUUACAUAUGCUUAGUUUACUCCAUUUCAGUGACAAUAUUCCCCACAUCCAAUAAUAUAAAAAUAAAAUGACAGUUCAAAAAUAUUUCAUAUUACUUCUCCCCACACUUAUCAUCUUCUCUACCAUCCUCCUACCAAUCUCUCCACUAACACUAUCCAUAAUC